CCUACGGGUGGCUGCAGUGGGGAAUAUUGCGCAAUGGGCGAAAGCCUGACGCAGCGACGCCGCGUGAGGGAUGAAGGUCUUCGGAUCGUAAACCUCUGUCAGCAGGGAAGAACGGUCACUGUGCUAAUCAGCAGUGAAUUGACGGUACCUGCAAAGGAAGCACCGGCUAACUCCGUGCCAGCAGCCGCGGUAAUACGGAGGGUGCGAGCGUUAAUCGGAAUUACUGGGCGUAAAGCGCUCGUAGGCGGUAUGUCAAGUCAAGGGUGAAAUCCCCGCGCUCAACGUGGGAACUGCCUUUGAAACUGGCGGGCUGGAGUUGGAGAGAAGUACGCGGAAUGCGCGGUGUAGCGGUGAAAUGCUUAGAUAUCGCGCAGAACCCCGAUUGCGAAGGCAGCGUACCGGCUCCACACUGACGCUGAGGCACGAAAGCGUGGGUAUCGAACAGGAUUAGAUACCCCUGUAGUC
Molecule: ribosomal RNA, 465 nt
Filed under: uncultured bacterium
Lineage: Bacteria
Description: partial 16S ribosomal RNA
Rfam family: Bacterial small subunit ribosomal RNA
Source: RNAcentral